GGGAAACUUGCCUGCUCCGGGCAGACCGAUCGAGCUCGACAACAGCCAGUUCAACGCGUGCCAACCCUCUUUCGAGAUACUGUCUUCUGUCGUGACGAGUAAACUGCCGCGUCGGUUUAUCCUUGUUUUCCCAUUCGCCGACUCGAAUUCCACACUCGUGACGCGGAAUUCGAAAGGGAUGAAUUUCCUUUUCGAAUCGCGAUAAAUAAAAGUGUGUUUAGAAUAUAAUAUUAAUAAUAAUAAUACUAAUACUAAUAAUAAUAAUAACAACAAGAACAACAACGUGACGUAUGAAGUGAUCAGUGGAGUUUCGUUGCCAAGUUUGAUAUGAUAUAUAUAGGCAGUUUGAUGAGAGCGUGGUUAUCGUGGUCAGCUAGGACGGGGAGGCUGUGUAGAGAGGAGGAAGAGUUCAUACGCGGUGGAUGGCUCAUUGAGCUGAAGAUCGUUCAAAGUUGCUUGGUUCGUAUAAUUAUAUCUGUCAUGUACCUUCAAAGUGCUGUGGAAGGAUAUACGGUUUAGGGAGAAUGAACUUUUUACGGGGUAGCUGCGCGAUUAGGUUUAUUUGGGACGCAUAUAACCGGAAUCACGUGGCCGAGUGACGGGUGUAAUGGUCGACUAACGACUCGCGAUCUUUUGAAGUUUAGAUUCGAUGGUGAACGUUCGGCUGUAAAUGUUCAUCGAGUACACCAUCACCGUAUCUUUGACGUGGGCUUCUAUUUCCGUUCGUCUUGUAACCGCGUUGUUAGGCCCGUCUUCCACUGUCCCCUUAAAUUUACGACGGCGGAGAGACACGUACGCAACACGUACGCACACCCGGAAAGGGCGUACUUAGUCAACGCGGCAACGACUUUUAAAGGGAAUAGAACGAAUUGCACCACCGAUCGGGGAACGUCCCGACGAAACGAUUACGAGUGUGUAAAUAUGUUUCCACUCCCUUCGAAGCCAGUUUACUUUCUCGUCAGAGCGAAACUAACGACGCGCCGUUAUCGUCGUACAGUUGAAAGUGGCCGUGUGUACCUUGGCAGCGAGAAGUGAUAACCGCGUUGUUAGCUGCGAAAUAAGCCCCGUGACAAACACACGCGGCCUCAACGAUAGCGUGAUAUAAUAACGAUAAGGGAACGUUCCUCCGAAAAAGAUCAACGAGGUUCCACUCUACGCGGUAUAUACGAUAGUUUCCACGAUAACCUUGAUAAACUGACCCCACGAUAGUCGGCCACGAUAAGGGGAGAACCAACGUUUCGAUAUCUUCAAACACAUCAAUUCCAAACUCCACUUCAUCCAGUUCUCUCCUCGCGUUCUUCAUUUUAUCGAAAUUUUCCCACUAGCAAAGUGAACGAACGCUCCUUUCGAAAGGCCAACGAUAUAUAAAUCUCUCUUAGAAUCUGAAAAUCUGAUCCAACACGUCUAACAACAAUCUUUCAAUAAUUACAUAUAUCGUUACACGUACUCGUUCCACGAAGAAAAAGAAGAAAAAAAAAGAAAAAGAAAAGGGAAAAAAAAAAAAUAUCACACCGCUUUUCCUCGCGUCACCAGCAUAAUAUAAUCGCGGCGUGGAGAGCGCGUGACGCGUGCUGGCUACAUCGCCAAGUCCUUCUGCCCCCCACCACCGCGCGCUAUUUCUCGCGCACGUCCCCCCUCCACCGACGAUAUUUCACCACCCCUACCAGGAACUCCGGUACGCGGACAGCGGCGACAAGGACGCGGCGAUCGGCGUACGCACGAGGCCGAGUGUAACGGAGCACGUGGGCCGCCGGUGGGGGUGGAGGAGGAGCGAUAAGACUGGAGGGGAAGCGUGGCGGAGGCACGGCGAGAGGGGAAGUCACCACUCCCCUUCCACCAACCAGCGGAGCGCGUUCUCUCCCACGUAACGGCGCUAACCGACGGGACCUUUGUUGCCCGCCACGCUCGAACGAGUGUCCCGCUCGAGAGUUUGGACGCUGGUGCCGCCCAGCGGUGAUCGCGGGAACUUUCGCCUCUCGGUGGUGGGGGCGAGGCGGCAGGUGGUGGGGGAAUCGCGGCGCGGUGGUGGGGGUAGAGCGUAGAGGGACGAGCGGUGGGGAUGAAUGCAGAGAACGGAGCGAGUACGAGGACGGGGGCAUGCUGCUCUCAGGACGCGCAGAACGUCAGAGUGGGUCGAGAAGGACGGGUGUAUCUCUCGUUCUCGCUCUCUCUUUCCCUCUUUCUCUCUCUCUCGCUCUUUCUCUCUCUGUCUCUCUCUCUCUCUCUCUCUCUCUACUCGGCUCUCUUUCUUUCUUCGUUUCUUUCGAUCAUUCGUCCCUCUCGCUCGCUCCUCGUGGAGAGGCAGAGAAAGAGAGGCCCGAUGGCGGGGUGAGAGCCGGCUUACUACGCGGCGAAACGCUACCACGGCGUUCAGUCGUCAGCGAUCAGACCGCCGGGCAGUGUGAACCUUCCUGGGCAGUCUCUUCAUCUAACCACUCUUCCUCUGCUGUCGUCCCUUCACGGACACGAAGCAGCGAUCGGCAUCUGGGAAAAGUUGGAGUACAGUUUCUGGAGAUGGAUUUGUCUGAUGAUCCCCUGAUAGAUCAUCGCGGCCUCGGUGGAAGGAUUGAGGAACAAGCUUCCAAGGAGCGGAAAGGAGAGGAAGAGGAAUUCACGAGAGAGAGAGAGAGGAAAGGAAUCGAGUGAAUUUACAGGAGAGAGAGAGAGAUAGAGAUAGAUAGAGAUAAUACUCGCUGUAGGAUAAUUGCGAAAAAAACGAUUUCGAAGGAAGAUCUCGCGUUCGAACCUUCGGCUAAAAGGUUUCGCCGCAACUGUUCUGUGACAGAACCGAGGGCCUUCAAGGACGCUCGAUAACCAGAAUCCAGGCUAACAGAUGUUGGAAAAGAUCUUAGCCUGCGAGCCGAUUGCCGCGGUUCAAACUAGCUGGGACGAUCGUCGCGGGAGCAUCGAAAAAUCUCAGAGAAUUCCAGAAAUCGUUGGAUAUCUAGAAGUUGGUUUAACGACACCCGAAGAAUACGAACUUCGCUCGCUCGUCGAAACUCGAAGAUUUCAGGAUUCUGGGAAGGAGAAGGAGAAUCGAGCUCUUCGAAUUUUUCCUUCCUCGUCCGAAAUUUCGAACGAUAUUCGAACAGUGAAUAACACGCAACAAAUUGUAUGGUCAUAGUGAGGAUCUCGUUCGUUUGUGCGCUCGUUCGGGCUUGCGUCGAGCCACGUGGUGCUCCGAAUCGCGCGAACGAAUCUGCGCUUCGUAAUUCUCGCGCGUACACGCAGUCUUCCCUCUUUGCGAAACCGCGUCUCGAGAAGGUGAAAACGAAGCGAGAGAAUCCCGGUGAAUCGAAAGUAAUCAAUAAUUUUUCUUCGUCGCAUUGCCGAGCUAUGUGGUGCCGUUCGAUUCGUAUUUAUGCGAAACGAAGAAGAAACGAGAAAACUGUUCUUUGCCUCGACGCGAGCCGAAGAUGUUGGAGAUUUCUGAAGACUCUGGAGAUAGUGAGACAGUGUGAACGGAUCGACGAUGGAUCCGGAAGAAAAUGAAAAUAACAAUAAAAAAAAAAGAAAAAAGAAAAUGAAAAAUCGAAUAAUAAUAAAUGGUGGUGGUUAAAUUUUAAAUAUUCGAAUAUUAAAAAAAAAAAAAAAAAAGAAAGGUAUAUUAAUUGGGGGAAAAGUGGGAGGAAUAUAGCUGCACGUCGAUUUUAUUCUUGAUUAAUGGCACGAUUGAAGGGAAUGACGAAGAGAACGUUACGCUUUACGGACGUGUUAGCAGCCGACGGCUCUUUGCCAACGAGAUCGUCACGAAUCAACGAUGAACAAGUGAGAGGUGUGUUCUACGCUACGGUUGGAAGUGUGCAUGUUGCUUAUAGUGGCGGUAUUAUUCGGUAAGGAAUAAUAAGGAAAAUGGAGGAAAGAAUUUGGAAGUGUGUCGGAAUUUCGAGUGCAAGGGGGCGAAAAUCAGCGAAGAUGGAAUUGGUAACGAAUAUUUUUUAAAACAAGAGGGAAAAAAGUCUCUCUGGUCACAGCGAGAUCUUCGUUCGUUUCCUUUGAUGAUAAUAACGAAACGAUAAUCGGACCCUGUAUUUAACCUUUUUUUUUUUUUUUUUCUUAUAUCGGAUUCGAUAGAAUUCUCCCCGGGAGAAGAUGCGUAAAGGAUAUUAUUAUAAAUUAAUCUAAUGAUAGGGAUUACAGUAGAAACUUUACAAAAUACCUGGGUAUCUUCGAACCUUUUCCUUGUUAAAAAGUUUCCCCAUAAAUUUGUCACUGUCACAGAAAUGAUAUACGCCCCGCCAGCUUCGAAACCUCGUCGAAUUAUCUCGUUCCACUUAUCAGGGAAUAUUUCCAAACAAACGGCCACGCCCCCACGCUUCUAAAAAAAAAAAAUCUUCCCUUUGAACAAACUGGCCGAAACGGGAUAUACUCGAAACUCGUCGAGGAAAAAUUUACAACGCGUUAUAAAAAUCUUUUCGAAAAACUCUCUUUUCGAGAUCAUCAUCCUCCAUGAAAUAAAAAUAUUACACGUAUUUACAUUCUCACCUAGCCAUAUAUCAUUACAAUUACACUCAUACAUAAAAAACAUCUCUAACGAGUUUCCCAGAUUCCAUUAAGAUUUUCAAAACACAGCUAAAUAACUAAAUAACCAUUGUCGAUCGAUCUUUCAUUCCAAAAUCUCAUAAGUCGAGUUUUAGAUUUUCAAUCUAAAAUAUAAUAAAUUAGAAAGCAGAGAAACGUCACUAUUCUACUUCUUCAAUCGAAAGAACGAUCGACAUGAACGAAAGAAAAGAAGAGAGAGAGAGAUGGAAAGGAAAGGGAAGACGUUUUCGCGCAGGGAGGGGUGGUUGGGAGGGCCCGUUGCGUCAUCAAGGUUGGCGAGGCGCCGAAGAAUCCGGCAAGAUACGGUCCUGCCCUCGCCGGCCAGAUAGGGUAUAAUCAUGGCGAGUUUCGUAUCUCGAAGGGGCACACACAGCGAAGAUGGUCCAACAUCUGCCGCUGCAGGGAAUCUCUGCCCACAUGCUGGCCCUAGUGCGCGUACGUACGCACGCACACCGGCAAAAAGUGACAUAGCUACACGCCGGGACGUCAUGUAAAUUCAUUCGAAACACAUGGCAGGGCCGAGCCGGCGGUUCCUUCUCGUUUCUCCUCUCCGAAAGGGUUCCUUCUCCACCACCGAGCUGGAAUCCGGGGAGGGGGAAGGGGGAUGUUGGGUAUAAAAAAAAAGGAGAAGAAGAAGAAGGAGGAGAGAAAAACAGACGAUAACUUCGACUUUUAGACAAGGAGGAGGCCUUCCUUCACCUUCUUCCUUCUCGACCUCUGUACGGGGGGGACCACCUCGCUCGAAUCCUCCCCCCUCCCUCUUUUUAUUCAAUCGUCUCUUCGAUUCGAUCCUCGGAUUUUCGAGGUGUCCAAUGGAGUUGACAAUUUGCCACAACCGUUGUCGUGUUGGGGGAUUAAGAUCGGUUUGAGAAAUUUUAAAAGGAUUGGUUCAAGUGCAAUAGAAAGAGAAAUUUGAGAGUCAAUGGAGGGGAGGGUUGAAAGUUCGCUGGUUGGUGAUUAUUAGGUGAUACACGUCAAAUUGUUGAUGGAAAAAUAAGUAUAUUUGUGAAAAACUUCUUGACGAUAUGAAAAUUUUUAUAUAUUAUUUUAAUACAAUAUUACUAUAUUUAAGGACAAUUUGAUAAUAAUGAUAAGGGAAUGAAAAAACUGAUUUAUUAACUGAAAAUAUGAAUUAUGUGGAGCUUUAUUUGUUUCCAUUACAAUGAUCCUCGAUUAUAGAUAAAAUUUUUUUUAACAAAAAAAA
Long non-coding RNA from Apis mellifera (honey bee), 5746 nucleotides. RefSeq lists it as uncharacterized. The record is from RefSeq and is a predicted model, not a curated record. The transcript has 2 exons. NCBI's taxonomy places the organism in Eukaryota, Metazoa, Arthropoda, Insecta, Hymenoptera, Apidae.